This is a long non-coding RNA of Trichoplusia ni (cabbage looper), 693 nucleotides long. RefSeq lists it as uncharacterized. The record is from RefSeq and is a predicted model, not a curated record. The transcript is spliced from 2 exons. NCBI's taxonomy places the organism in Eukaryota, Metazoa, Arthropoda, Insecta, Lepidoptera, Noctuidae.
UUGCACAGCUCGGCCAGUAUCAACAAAAUCCAGGCCUAAGAAAUGUGGAUGGUGCAAUUGAUUGCACACACAUUAAAAUAGUAAAUACUCCAGGGGUGGAACAUCAUGAAGCCUACAGAAACAGAAAAUCUUACUUUUCUAUAAAUGUCCAGGCAGUUGUUGGACCAUUUGGCAAUUUCAUGGACAUUGUGGCUCGAUGGGCUGGCAGUACACACGACAGCAGAAUAUUCCAGAUGUGUUUGUUGCGCACCAAAUACAUACAUCAACAACAUUCUGGUUAUCUCAUUGGAGACAGCGGAUAUCCUUGUUUAAGGUUCCUGCUAACACCUGUAGGUACUCCAACAACCCAUGCGGAACAAACAUACAAUAGAGUGCAUGUCAAAACAAGAAAUGUGGUGGAAAGAACCUUUGGGCGAUGGAAACGGCGGUUUCCAUGUCUAAGUAGGGGGUUGGGCAACAAAUUGACCACAGUGUCAAAUAUAAUAGUAGCAUGUGCUGUACUUUUUAAUAUAUCAUUGUCUACAAAUGACAUGAUGCCUUCAUAUGAAGAAGAUGGUGAAAUCAAUGAAGAAGUCAUAUAUGAUGAAUCCAACAGUGAAGGGACUACCGAUGGAUUUGCUUUUAGAAACACAAUUAUUAGUAAUUACUCUUGAUUUUAUAUUAUUCAGUUUUUCUAACAAUAAAAAACUAUGU